This 292-nucleotide ribosomal RNA is filed under the name uncultured bacterium. RNAcentral describes it as "partial 16S ribosomal RNA". It matches the Rfam family "Bacterial small subunit ribosomal RNA", at positions 505 to 796 of the family's 1533-position model. The record is from RNAcentral.
GUGCCAGCAGCCGCGGUAAGACGAACCACCCAAACGUUAUUCGGAAUUACUGGGCUUAAAGAGUGCGUAGGCGGCCCUGAAAGUAAGGUGUGAAAUCCCACAGCUCAACUGUGGAACUGCGCUUUAAACUACAGGGCUAGAGGGAUACAGAGGUAAGCGGAACUGAUGGUGGAGCGGUGAAAUGCGUUGAUAUCAUCAGGAACACCGGUGGCGAAGGCGGCUUACUGGGUAUCUUCUGACGCUGAGGUACGAAAGCUAGGGGAGCGAACGGGAUUAGAUACCCCAGUAGUCC